AUUGAGAUUAAUUAUUUUGACGGCUCAUCAUGUUGGGCAUUCGUGUUUUCGAUUCGGGUUAUUCGGUUUUUGGGUUAUUCAGAUUAGGAUGUUUGAGACCCGUUAAGAAACCAUACAUUUUUGGAUCGAAUCAGUUUGGGUAAUGUCGGAUUUAGGUCAUGUUUUCAUUUUCUUAUAAAAAUUGCAGUGGAAGCAAAUUAGAAAUAGAUUGGAUUUAAUUCGGGGUUAAACGGAAAAUCCCAAAAAUGCUUAAAACCAGAGUUAAACCCGGAAAACCACAAAACUCAAGGAAUUAGAGUAAUUUGGUGAUUUUGAAUAUUUGUUAUUUAUAAAUUAUAAUUAUAUAUAAAU
RNAcentral lists this long non-coding RNA (351 nucleotides) under Brassica napus (rape). RNAcentral describes it as "long non-coding RNA (BNAP_LNC006582)". Lineage: Eukaryota; Viridiplantae; Streptophyta; Magnoliopsida; Brassicales; Brassicaceae. The record is from RNAcentral.